ACUCCACCGAGGUCGUCGCCUAAGCCGGAGGAGCCGCCAGUUUGGGCUCGGGGAGGGAGGCGGAGAGGGAGUGGCGGCCGCGGUGGAGCGGCGUGGGCUCCGCACCAGCAGCUCGGUGCCAGGCUCGGUACCUGGCAGGCCGGGCGCGCCUCGCAGGCCGCCCGGGGCGCGGAGGGUGUGAGCGCGCGCGCCCCCUCCGUGCCCGCUCAGCCUCGCGCGCGUCUCGGGGGAGGCUCCGCCGAGAGGCGCCCGGGGAGCCCGCAGCCUCAGUCCUGCCGCCGGCGGAGCUUUGUGCGGCGGCGGCUCCGAGUCCCACCUGCUGGCGGCGGAGAGACAAGGAAGAGGAAGAAGGAGGAGGAGGAGGGGAAAGAGGCGGCGGCGCCAGCCCACUCCUCUCGCCGGCGCCCACUCCCGGGGGCUCCGCAGCCCCCCGCUCUCGGCCUGCACCAGCUCCCCGCCCCCGGCCCGGCCCGGCCUCCCGGCCACACCGCGGCAGCCGCCGCUGCAGCCCCCAGCCUUGCCCGGCGGGGCCCGGCCCGGCCCGGCCCGGCCGCCGCCGCCGCCGCCGCCGCCCGGAGCCGCCGGCGAGUUUGAGGGGAGCGCGGGGCGCGCGGCGCCGCUUCAAUGUGCCCGGGAGCCGCCUCGGCGCCCCAGCCCCGCUGAACAGCCCCGGCGCGGCUGCCCUAGAGGACGAGCGAGGAGGCGCGGAGAGCCCCGGAGAAAGAGAGCCAGCGAGAAAGAGCGAGCCCGACAGCGAGCGCAGGGAGCGACACCAUGCCCGGCUGGAAGAAGAAUAUCCCUAUCUGCUUGCAGGCAGAGGAGCAGGAGAGAGGGUUUCACCAUGUUGCCCAGCGUGGUCUCAAACCCCUGAGCUGAAGCAGCCUGCCUGCCUUGGCCUCCCAAAGUGCUGGGAUUAUAGGUAAGAGCUACCACACCUGGCCUUUUUUUGACCCAUUGGUUAUUUGGAAGUAUGUUUUUAAAAUUUCCACAUAUUUGUGAAUUUCCCAAAUUUCUUUCUGUUGUUGAUUUCUAAUUUUGUUCCACUGUGGUCAGAAAAUAUGCUUUGUAUAAUUUCAAUUCUUUAAAAUAUAUUUUUAGGAUUGUUUUAUGGCCUACCAUAUGGUCUAGCCUGGAGAAUGCUCUGUGUGCACUUGAGAAGAAUGUAACUCUGUAAUUGUUGGGCAGAGUGUUCUAUAGAUAUAUGUUAGGUCUAGUUAGUUGAUAGCACAUGUCUUAUCUUUUUAAAUAGAUUUACCAAGCUUUGUAAUCAGGACUUGUUGAUAUUUAAAUACCUCUGAAAAAGCCACCUACCUAUUUGGCUCUAUACUUUCUUCCUGAAUUGACAUGGUUCCAAACACACUGAUAUUGGAAUUGUAUUUAAAAAAAAAUUUUUUUUUUCUAAACCUUCACAUUGUUUUUCUAGGGUACAGGUAUUUAGCUUCCAGUGGGAAAUAUGAUUGCCAAAUGCAGCCUGCUUCUUCAUGUUCUGUUACUGAAUUAUCUUAAAAUCAAUACAAUUACUGCUUCUCUAAGAAUUGUGCUGCACAUGGAGGAUAAAUUCACAGUUUUAGAGGAGAUUCACAAAUUUUGACGUUCAUAAAUUAUGCUUUAAUUUUUUGCAAUUGUUUCUGGAUAUCUGCAUUUGGAGGCUAUAGCCCUUCCUCUGAAUGGGAUUCGAGAUUCAACAGAGUGCAAUCUAUGCCUAUUAAGGAAACAUACCCAGAACAUUCUUGGAAAUGUGAAGAUUGUAAGAGUAUCUCAACACUACCAUGAAAUGCCUGUCUAUUUAAGUCAUAUUUUGAGUGGUGUUUCAAUGUGUCCUGUUCUGUGAAAGCAUUUUCUCUUUUAUGAAACUACUAAAAUUGAAGCCAUUAGUGUUGUAAAUUUGGAAUCCAAGUUGAGAUGGCGUCUGGCUGAAUACACUCUAGAGGAUAAAAAAAUUGUUCAGUUUGACAAAUGCCAGGGUUUUCACUGAUAUAGUUUACUAUUGAUUAAAAUAUACUUAUUGCUAAUUAUAUUUUUGGGUGGACUAAAUUUUUUUACACUGCUUUUAUAUCACCAUUAAAUAUCCAGCUGUCUCUAUUUCAACACUGUUAUUAAUAAAUCAUUUGGCUUUCAUAAUGUAAUAUGUGAAUAUGUUGCACAUUAUUGAAAAAUUGGCUGUGCCCAAGUUUUCUCUAUGUUUUCUUGUAUUCUUUUACUCAGAAAUGAUGGAUGUUUGCAGAAAUGAAUAAAGUAUUUUGAUUAUUCUGUAUUUUACUUUGACCAUUGUCAUAUUUAUGUAUAACUACUUGAUUUUUCCUUACUCAGCUAUAGGGAAGAAAUAUUUCUUUCCUCUCCUGCCUGCUGUGGCAAUGCCUUAUUCUCCUGAAUUUGCAAAUGAAGCCGUGUCUCUAAUCAUUACUAAUUUGAUUUUUUCCUAUUUUAGGUUAUUAUGUUGAGUUUACAUAACUUGAGUUAAAAGCUGAUAAUUCAUUAAAUAGUUUGUCCUUUUUUUUUGAGACGGAGUCUUGCUGUGUUGCCCACGCUUGAGUGCAGUGGCGUGAUCUCGGCUCACUGCAAGCUCUGCCUCCCGGGUUCAUGCCAUUCUCCUGUCUCAGCCUCCCGAGUAGCUGGGACUACAGGCGCCCACCACCUCGCCUGGCUAAUUUUUUUGUAUUUUUAGUAGAGACGGGAUUUCACCCUGUUAGCCAGGAUGGUCUCGUCUCCUGACCUCGUGAUCCGCCUGCCUCGGUCUCCCGAAGUGCUGGGAUUACAGAUAGUUUGUCCUUUUUUCUUUCUUUUUUUUUUUUUUGCGACGGAGUUUAGCUCUUGUUGCCCAGGCUGGAGCGUAAUGGCGCUAUCUCGGCUCACCGCGACCUCUGCCUCCCGGGUUCAAGCCUCCCAAGUAGCUGGGAUUACAGGCAUGUGCCAACACGCCCGGCUAAUUUUGUAUUUUUAGUAGAGACAGGGUUCCUCCAUGUUGGUCAGAAUGGUCUCGAAUUCUUGACUUCAGGUCAUCCACUCACCUCAGCCUCCUAAAGUGCUGGGAUUACAGGCCUGAGCCACCGCGCCCUGCCAAGUAGUUUGUCCUUUAAGCAGACCUCCCUCCUAGACUGUUGUAUGUUACAGUUAGAUACAUUUGAUUGCUUAGUGAGAAGAACAGAUAUGUGUAUGUAAAACGGGGAAUAAAUUGCCUUCCUCAGGUUGUUGUGAGUAUUACAUGAGCCUCACGGCUAGAAAGCGACUAGUAAUGUGCUUGGUACACAGAAUACUCAACACUUGUUUGCUUCCUUCUUCCCUCUUUUCUCUCUUUUCCAUUGGUAGAUGAGUGCCUUAAUGUUAGUAGCUUUAUAUUAAUUACCUAUGUAUUUUUCAAAUCUGAGCCAGAGCUGGAACCUAGUCAGUGUUAAAUACAUUAAAUACAUUACUACUUAAUUAAAUGUCUCUUGAAUAACUGGAUAAAUGAACAAACCAUACUAUUUAUCAGAAUUUGAAACAAGAACCAAAAUUUCUAAAACAUAGAACCAAACUCAAGCAGAUACCAUUUAAAAAUGUAAGUUCUAGAACAUCAGAGAAGUAGCAGAAAGCUAUGCGUAUAGUGAGUGCCUAGUAACAACCUUUGCCUGAUCAUCAGAACAAAUCCCACCUCCCUAGAUCUCUAACUUUUUGGAAUUUGAGACAGUAUUUUCUUCAUCCUUCUUAUGUACCAUCCCUUUUAAUGAAUUAUAUCUAAUAUGUUGCUAGUCAGGAAUAUCCGCCUUCUAGGAAUCUUAGAACUAGCAUUAACACUUUCAUUUAUUUUAAUUCUGUGAAAUCUUAACAAGCAACACUGAAUUGUCUAUUUGUAAUAUUAUCAUUUUUCCUUGGAAUUUAUAAUUCCUUUUAAAUCAUUUACACUUUUCUUCCCUGCCUCUCACUUUGCAGCAGUCAAUAGAGCUGAUUGUAUUUAUUUCUGCAGUUGUAACUCAAAUUCCAUUAAAGGUUUUGGUGCCGUCAGCCAGAUCAUGUUGGAGCCAGGGAUUCCAUUUCCUAUAAACAAGUUAAUAUCUUCCAUUAUUUUUCUUCCUUGUGUAGUGACAGUGUUUAUUGUUGUUCCGAAGCCAAUUUGAAGCUUAACUUUAGAAACAUUAUAUAUUAAUCUGACCAUAUUUGGUUUUAAAAAAGUCUCUAUGAGUGAAAUAAAGAUUUUCUGUUUAAUGAUGAUUAAUAACCUAUUCGGAUGGAUUCAUCUGAGGAACUGAAGAUAAUUUUGCCAUCAGGCCACUUGUAUAUGGGCACAAACAGAUGGGUCUUACUCCAAACCCUGAAGGCACAGACGAGACGCCCCCGUAAUUGCUUAGGGAAGAAUUGUACAGCCAUGGCCUCUUCCCAAGGACACAGUGAUCUUCACUGUGAUAACUCCCAAAUUUGACGCUUUUCAACAAGGCAAGAAACCUCACCACAUUCAUUCAGUAAAAACUUCCCAUGCUGUGCUGCAAUUGGCUACCCAGAGUAGCAACAAAGAAGAAGGUGUCCAGUGAAUAAGCUUGGAUUUUAAUUGUGAAGCUGCAGCAAGUUUACACACAAGAGUAUCAGAUUAACACAGAAAUCUGGAAAUGUUAGAACUUUGGUUGGAAAUUUCCUGUGACCCUUGGGAAUGACAGCUUUAGAGCCAGGAUUGUGUGAUUCACAGUAUAGUCUUCCACAGUCUCCUGUCUCUUUUAUAAGGUGUCCUAUGAGACUAAUAAUAUCUUUCUUAGGGGACUGUUGAGAAGGUGGAAUU
This 4744-nucleotide long non-coding RNA is filed under the name Homo sapiens (human). RNAcentral describes it as "non-protein coding lnc-GRIP1-1:5". The record is from RNAcentral. Lineage: Eukaryota; Metazoa; Chordata; Mammalia; Primates; Hominidae.